Molecule: long non-coding RNA, 935 nt
Organism: Rhipicephalus sanguineus (brown dog tick)
Lineage: Eukaryota; Metazoa; Arthropoda; Arachnida; Ixodida; Ixodidae
Exons: 2
Source: RefSeq, a predicted model, not a curated record
AAAGGCAUGGCCUGACAUCCUAACACACAAAGUAGAAAAACUCUUUUAGGAUUAACGUUCUUUUAAAGAUUGAAUGCGUGCACUAACAUCAUUCAACUACGCUUGUCGUCGAACGUGGCCAUAUAGUGGGCAUUGUUAUUCCAUGUUAAGGAAAGUACAAUACGCACCACUAAAGGACACCCUUCACUUUAUUGUUCUACAGCCUUCACUGUACUGUUUGGAGUGGGUUCCAUAUAAGAAUGACGCUGCUGUUAUUACAAUGAGGAAAUAUUUAUAGAACCGAGCUAGAUCACUGCAUGCAUAAGAUGAAGGGUAGCCCUCGAAAUAUACUUGGACCGGCAUGUAGACACUGCGUCAAUGCAUAUCUCAGUAGGCUAUAUGUACACGGUAACGCAUCAGUUUCGGCAAACUUCUCAUACACAGCAGCUGAAUAUGGCUGAGAUUGCUAUACGCUUUCUGAUAGUAUUGGUCACAUGCUUUUUGAUUUCCUUCACAGAAGGAGCUCAGAGUAUUUCAAGCGAUUUUUAUGGUAGCAAUGGUCUUGAAAUCAGCGGGAAAGAUUGGUGGCCGCGACCAAAAGGGCCCUGCCGGCGAAAAAAUGAAGUCUUCAAGCACUGCGUUGGUACAGGCUGCGAGGAGGUCAAGUGUUGGAAGCCUACAAUUGGUCCGGUCUGCCACUACGACUGCAAGAGCGGCUGCUUUUGUGCGAAAGGUUUCUACAGAGACUAUCGAGGGAAGUGCGUUUCCUGGAAUAAGUGCCUCAAGCAGAUGUACCCUUGGUACCUGGGUGGGCAGUACUCAUGGUUGCCGUCCGCGGAACCACUCUACACUGGAAUGGUCCCUGUGGUGUUCUAGCAAGCAAUCGACAUACUGAGCACGGUUGGAAAUGCCUUUUUAAAGGCUUAAUAGGCGAAUAAAGAUGACUUAAUGUUAUA